RNAcentral lists this ribosomal RNA (336 nucleotides) under uncultured Pelotomaculum sp. RNAcentral describes it as "bacterial SSU rRNA". It matches the Rfam family "Bacterial small subunit ribosomal RNA", at positions 1045 to 1382 of the family's 1533-position model. Lineage: Bacteria; Bacillati; Bacillota; Clostridia; Eubacteriales; Desulfotomaculaceae. The record is from RNAcentral.
AUGGUUGUCGUCAGCUCGUGUCGUGAGAUGUUGGUUAAGUCCCGCAACGAGCGCAACCCCUACGUUAGUUGCUAACGCGUGAAGGCGAGCACUCUAGACGAACUGCCGUUGACAAAACGGAGGAAGGUGGGGAUGACGUCAAAUCAUCAUGCCCCUUAUGUUCUGGGCUACACACGUGCUACAAUGGCCGGUACAGACGGACGCAAAGCCGCGAGGCGGAGCAAAUCCGAAAAAGCCGGUCUCAGUUCGGAUUGCAGGCUGCAAUUCGCCUGCAUGAAGUCGGAAUCGCUAGUAAUCGCAGGUCAGCAUACUGCGGUGAAUACGUUCCCGGGCCUU